GGAGGAUUAGCUCAGUUGGGAGAGCGUCUGCCUUACAAGCAGAGGGUCACAGGUUCGAGCUCUGUAUCCUCCA
This 73-nucleotide transfer RNA is filed under the name Lacticaseibacillus paracasei. RNAcentral's name for it is "Lactobacillus paracasei tRNA-Val". It matches the Rfam family "tRNA". From Rfam's summary of the family: Transfer RNA (tRNA) molecules are approximately 80 nucleotides in length. The record is from RNAcentral. Lineage: Bacteria; Bacillati; Bacillota; Bacilli; Lactobacillales; Lactobacillaceae.